This 427-nucleotide ribosomal RNA is filed under the name uncultured bacterium. Its description in RNAcentral is "partial 16S ribosomal RNA". It matches the Rfam family "Bacterial small subunit ribosomal RNA", at positions 355 to 774 of the family's 1533-position model. The record is from RNAcentral.
UGGGGAAUAUUGCACAAUGGGCGCAAGCCUGAUGCAGCCAUGCCGCGUGUAUGAAGAAGGCCUUCGGGUUGUAAAGUACUUUCAGCGGGGAGGAAGGUGUUGUGGUUAAUAACCUCAGCAAUUGACGUUACCCGCAGAAGAAGCACCGGCUAACUCCGUGCCAGCAGCCGCGGUAAUACGGAGGGGGCAAGCGUUAAUCGGAAUUACUGGGCGUAAAGCGCACGCAGGCGGUCUGUCAAGUCGGAUGUGAAAUCCCCGGGCUCAACCUGGGAACUGCAUCCGAAACUGGCAGGCUUGAGUCUUGUAGAGGGGGGUAGAAUUCCAGGUGUAGCGGUGAAAUGCGUAGAGAUCUGGAGGAAUACCGGUGGCGAAGGCGGCCCCCUGGACAAAGACUGACGCUCAGGUGCGAAAGCGUGGGGAGCAAACA